GCCCCCGUAGCUCAGGGGAUAGAGCACUGGUUUCCUAAACCAGGUGUCGAGGGUUCGAAUCCCUCCGGGGGCA
This 73-nucleotide transfer RNA is filed under the name Bifidobacteriaceae bacterium. Its description in RNAcentral is "tRNA-Arg". It matches the Rfam family "tRNA". From Rfam's summary of the family: Transfer RNA (tRNA) molecules are approximately 80 nucleotides in length. Lineage: Bacteria; Bacillati; Actinomycetota; Actinomycetes; Bifidobacteriales; Bifidobacteriaceae. The record is from RNAcentral.